CUUGGAUGUCUCAAUAGGUAGUUAGGCUGGCGUGGAAUUUUGUUUUCGGAGACCAUUUCCUCGCACCAUAACCAAUGCAGCAAGCUGUAGAGGUUAUGAUGCUUUAAGCAUCCCUAAAGCACAGAUUUUGUUGACUGUUAUAGGGUAUUUCACUAAAGUGAUAAUUGUUAGGAAUUCAAAGUAAGUUCUAUGUGAAUUUAAAAUUCAAAGGACAAAAUAC
Pelobates cultripes (western spadefoot toad) is the source of this 220-nucleotide non-coding RNA. The record is from the annotation of a GenBank genome assembly. Lineage: Eukaryota; Metazoa; Chordata; Amphibia; Anura; Pelobatidae.